Molecule: long non-coding RNA, 4835 nt
Organism: Neofelis nebulosa (Clouded leopard)
Lineage: Eukaryota; Metazoa; Chordata; Mammalia; Carnivora; Felidae
Exons: 2
Source: RefSeq, a predicted model, not a curated record
GCCCCAGUUACUGUGGCCUCUCAACUCUCCCUAACUUUGACCCUCAAUUCUGAAAAAUGGGCCUCAGCCUUAGCUCACAAACAUUUAUUGAACCCCUGCAAUGAAGCAGGCACUCUGGUCUUUACUGGAAAUACAGUUACAAAUAAGGUACUGGCCUAGCUUCCUGGUGACUACAGGCCAACGAGAGACAGGCUCGGGUAGACAGGAAGUUGCAGUAAGCUGCACUGAGUAUUGGGAUGGGGAAAUAGAAGCAAGUAGGAGGGCAGCUAACCCCAGCUGGGGGAGGAAGGGUGGGGCAGGAACUCCUAGGGGAAGUGAUAACCAAGCCCUCCUACAAAGACAAGUAGAAGGGAAUCCAGCAAAGUAGAGGGUUGUGGGUGUGGACAGUGACAUUGGGGAAAGGAACAGUAAGUUCAAUGGCCUGUAGAUUAGAUAAAGGUCUCAGGAUCUGAACACAAUUCAAUAUGGCUGAAGCCACAGAGGACCAUGGAGGAAGGGCAAAAGAUGUGACUCUAGUAGUAGGAGUCAGAUUAUGACCAGCUUACAAGUAGGGUGACCACAUACAUUUAUUGUCCAAAUCGAGGAUUCAGCCAUUGUAAACUGGGACCACUCUGGCAAACCAAUUCAGAUAGUCAUUUCACUUGUAAAGCAAGUAAGGAUUUGACUGUAAGUGAUUCUGGGUCCCUCUCUCUGUCUUACUAUACCAAACUUCACCUCAGUGGCCUGCCUGAAAUGUAAGUCCCUUCUGUACAGAGGCCCUGGCUUACUCUUGCUGAACGUCUCCUGUGUAUGCCCUACACAUGUGGAUGGAAAUAAUUUCUUGCUCAGCUUCUCUAGUCAAUCUUAUCCCAGGGUGGUCAACCAGGGGGUGCCAGAAGAGACGCUAUCUAGAAUCUGCAAAAAGCAUCUUGUUUGCGUCAUAUGCCUCCAAAUAAAACAAGUCAAUAUUUCUCACUAAUGAUGGGGUUUUGGAGUGCUGGGGGUUCAGAGCUGAUGGCCAAGAAAGAAUCCUUAAACACAUCUUUGGUGCAAAAAAGAUGAUUUAAUUAAAGCACAGGGACAGGACUCAUGGGCAGAAAAAAUUGCACCGGGGUUGUGAAAAGUGACUGGUUAUAUACUCUGGAGUUGAGGGAGAUAAAGGCAAAAGGGAGACUUCCAGAAGGACUUUGAUAUGCUAAAGAGGCCUGAGACCUUGCUAUUGUCAAGCUAAGUAGUUUAUCCUCUAGUAAGGCAUUAACAUCAGGAUGGUAGGGGGUUCCUAGAAAAAUGUUACAUUCUGUAUUUUUCUCAAGUAUUUGUCAGUGGGCUGCAGGUUAUAAGGAAAUUUUACCUGCCAUUUCCUUCUUGCCUUUGUUCCCCACAUCACUGUGGCGGGUAGGGUGAUAUUAGGGGUUCUAGGAAACUGUCUAUAGGUUUCUGGAGAUUAGGCUAUUGAUAAGAUUGCCUUUUUCUUGUAAUUUUCUAAGAUAUUUGUAAACUGAUGAAGACUCAUGUCCUGCAUGACUGUGAUCUCUAUCAGUUAACCAUUUGUUUUCUUUCCUUUCCUUUGUUCUUGGGCAGCCAGGCCUGCCUGAGGAAUAUCACACAUAUCCCACCUGGGGGGUGGGGGUGGGAGGUGUUGUUAGCUUGUGUUUUGCCCUCAGUUUGCCUUACGUUCCCUCAUCACUAAGAUUGUUUCAUUUUUUACCAACACCUACAUGUGCACUGAGUUAGUAUCAGCGGUUAUAGUUCACAUCCAGGCUGCCCACUUACUAGGUCUGUGAACUCAAGCUACCUGACUGUGAGACCCAUUCUCCCAUUUGCAAAGUAAAGAAAAUAGAACCAGCUUCCCAGAGUUGUUAGGGGUAAAUGAGGGAACACAGGUGAUAGAACCUAACUUACUGUCUGAUUUGGGAGAGAUGCUCUAUGAGAAAUAAGAGAGAUGAUUCAUUUUCAGAAAUACCAAAUAAAAGCUGUGCUGUCUAGAUAACAGUAUGUUUACAACUGUUUUCUAUUGGAAAUAUAUAGGAACUCUUCCCCCUCCCAUAAUGGAGUCCCAAACCCUUGGACACUUCACUUACUGGUUCUUCUUCCUCUCUUGGUUUCCUGAGCUUAUUUUCAUGGGCUUUGCAAUGAGCAUGCGCCAAAAAACGAAGGACUGAAAGUCACUGAGUCACAUCAGGAAAUGUACAUUUGUUCCAAUCAGACGACUUUUUGCCUUACUUGGGUAUAGGCGACCUCAAGGUAAGACUAUAACCUCUGUAGUACUCAACCAAUGAGGAAUCAGGCAAGAGACUUGCAUGCUGGGAGAUAAAUUGUCUGCUGUAACGGCCCCAAGUGUGCCUGUCCGUCAGACAUCCGCUCUUGCAAGAACAUUGAUUAAACCUAUCUUCACUGUGCUUGGAGUCUCUGCGUCCCUCCUUUGAUUGGUGAUCAACAUUCCCCUCCCAAUGAGCAAAGCAAGGGCCUGCUCAUCACCUUUGGAACACACUGCCUUUGUUUGAUCAUGGCUGUGACUGAGUUCCUGAGAACUUACAUCUCAUAUGAAACAAUGAAGAUAACUCAGAAGACCCCAUUCUGGAAGAAUGUGAUUCCAUGCUCUUGUCCUCUGCCUAGAGCUGGUGUAGAAGAUACAUUGACUUUCAGAGAUUUGGGUUUGAAUUCUAGCCUUGUCACUUUCUAGCCUUAGUUUCCUCACCUGUAAAAUGGAACUAAUAACCUACCUCAAUGGACUUUUUAUAAGGAUAUAAUUAGUUACCACAUGCAAAGUGCCUGGUGUGCAAUAAACACUCAUAGGUAAUGUCGUCAUGAUUUAUACAAAUCACCAGGCUAGGAAAAUCUGUUCUGGUUCUCUUGCUGUCACUUUCUCUCAGAUGUCUGCCAUUUUGAAAUUUGCCCUGUAAUUAAACAUUUUCAGUCAAAUCACUUCCUUGAGGUUUAUGGUAACAUGCAUUCUAAUUCAUUGUUGGGAUAGUUAAUUUUCUAGGUAUUUCUGAACUUAAAAAAAAUAGAAAUGUUCUAUUUAUUCACAUUUAUUUCUUCCUUAAAAGCACUGGUUGAGAUCAUGAGACCAUUACCUCAGAGAGCUCAGACAUUAUUAAAACAAAUUACUCUAGGCCAGUGUAAGGAGAGCCCUAACACUCACUCUCACAGAGGAGGCUGGGAGGCCCCUUGAGAAGGAGUGAAAGAAUGGAUCUCUUGUUGGCUCACACACAUUAUUUAGAAAUAGCUUAUUUUGUUAAUAUCACCAGAUGGUUCCAAGCCAUACAUAAAAACAUUCUACCCCACACUGAUUUGCUUGACAAGUGUCCCACAACAAAGGGAGUUAACUAGACUGAAAGGCAUGUGUCUAUUUAGGGGCAAGCCUGGUUCAAGGUUCAUGUGGUCUGUUGAUGAGAGCUCUUUCUUGGGAAUACUAAAAUCCUAAUGUUGAUGAGAAAAGUACUUUCUUGAGCCAGAAAUUAUGCACUACAAAUUUUAUUCUACCACUUCCUGGUGAUGUGGCAAGAGUCAAAUGUUUCAUCUCUAGGCCACCAUUUCUUUGUUUGUAAAGCAGAGAUAGUAAUAGGUGUCUCACAGAGUCCUAGUAAGAUUUAAGUGAUUAUUAUGGAAGAAUCUGGAACAGAAACAGAUCCACAGCAAGCACCCAACAAAUGUUGGGUGAAAUAUUAGUUCACCCAGUAGAUCAAUCUGAAUACAUGUCUUCAUAUUUCAGAAUCUAAAUUCAAGAAGGCAGGGAUGAUAAUGGCGUGGAAAGUUUUCAACUUUGAGUCAAGAAAAAAAAGCUAAACUGUACUUACUUCUUGCUGUGUUGCUUUGGGCAAAUUGCUCAACUUUUCUGAGUCUUAUUUUUUUAAUGUGCAGAAUGGGGCAUAAUAAUAAUAUCUCUUCUCUGUAGUUUCUAGGAUUACUGAGGGAGUAAAAUUUGUCUCUGUGUAUCCUCAGCCUUCAGAUUCUUCAUUCAUUCUCUUUCUAAAAGUAACAACAUUGUUGAAUGUGCAUUUGAGUUUUCUCAAAUUACUAACUUCUAAUGGAGCAGAUAGCCUUAAAAAUAUCCAGUGGAAGAAUCAUAGUUAACUUCUGGAAUUUUCUGAGGGAGCAUUUCAUAUGCAAAGGCAAAUUAGCAAUACUAAUAGAACAUUAGUAAGAGCAGUGGUUAAGAUAAUUAUCCAUCUCUGGGGAAAUGCCACCACCUUCUGUGAUCUUAUGCUUUCAAAUGCAGGAAGAUGCAAUAAUUUCAUGAUAAUUUCAGUUUCAGAACUACCUUUACUAAGUGUCUGAAUAUUCAUUUCUGAAUACUCUACAAGCCGAAUAUUACAGCCAGUUGGAUAAAUCAGUUGGAUAAUUACAGCCAGUGUUGGAUAAAUCAAAGGAUAAGGCUAAUGAAAUCCUGAGCUUGUCAAGGAUUCAGACCCAGUGAAUUGGUUGGUAUUCUAGAAAAUGGGGUAUGCAUGGAAGUAAAACAUUGCCAAGAGGAUAAUAACUUGGGUUUGAUUUAGUUGAACAGAAAAUGCUUAAGUUAAUUUAUCCUCUUUCAUUGUCGGAGGGGAAAAAAACCCAAACAAACCUGUCUUUAAUUUCUAAAUAAUAUAUGAAUGUAUUCUUACUUGAAAAAAAUUUAAACCUUUUAAAGUUUACAUCCCUCUCCUCACCACUUCCCUUCUCAAAGGUGACUAUAUUAUCAGUUCAUUGUGUAUCUUUUUCUAAGUCUUUUCCUUGCCUUUUCUUUAAUAUGUAAUGUAUUUAUAGAAACACAGUUUCAUUAGUGCGUAUUUGUGUAUAAAUAAUGCAAACUGUCCUGUAACUACCUUUUUACUCUACAAUGUGUAUUAAAGGUAGUCCCAUGUCAGUAUGCA